Molecule: long non-coding RNA, 678 nt
Filed under: Aquilegia coerulea
Lineage: Eukaryota; Viridiplantae; Streptophyta; Magnoliopsida; Ranunculales; Ranunculaceae
Description: long non-coding RNA (ACOE_LNC000316)
Source: RNAcentral
UCGAUAUUUUGUACUAUGCUCUGGCAUGGCAGCAGCUAUAGAGGAGGCAUUAACUUAGAAGAACAGUGUGCUGUUCUUGGAACAUCUCUAAUGCUAUACCAAAAGAAUGAUCAACUUUUAGUAGUAGGUCAGGUGGAGGUCGCAGUGCCUCACGUGGCGGCCGGAGGUAGCUUUGGAGGCAGCAGUGGGUGGUAGUGCUAUUGGAGGUGGUCGUGGCAGUGAUGCAGCUCGUGGUGGUAAAGGUAGCUCUAAAUUAGGUGGUGGUAAAAGUUAUAAAGGUAGCUCUCGUAGUGGUGCUGGAGCAGGAUUUCUCAGUGGUGCUGGGGCAGAUUAUCUUGCUGCUGGUGGUGCAGGUUUUAUUGGUGUGCCUCAACUAAAUCACAGAGGAUACAGUUCAUCGUCCAACUCCUACAGCUCUUACAGCUGCUAUGACAACCACCAUGGCAACUAUAAUUAUCCUUGCUUUUAUUUAUAGUAUAUAUAAGUAACAGAAAUAUACAGUAUUUAUAGUGGUAGUAGUAGGAGAAUAGCUUGAUAGCAUUACGUAUUUGAUCAAAUUAUUGAAGCAUUGUGUUCAAUCAAGUAUAUUGUUACGAAUUAUUUUCACAAUGGAUAAAUCUGGCUAUUUUUCUGUUCUUUUCUAUGUAAUCUACUUAGUUCUGAAUAACUAAAAGUUGC